UUCAACCCUCGACCAAAAUAGAAAUCCAAAAUCCCGCCUUCACUCCUUCUUCUACCCGAGCAUUCUUCUAUUUGGAUUUUGGAGAGAGAAAUCGUUGUUAAUUUCAUGAAAUUAGGGCCGAAUUCGUUUGUUGAAGAGGAGGAAAAAGGAAAAUCUAUUUUUUUUAGUUUCAUUUUACAAGCCCUAAAAAAACCAUAGUUUUGGAAAUUAGGGCAAAUGGUUUCAAAUUUCCUUGCUGUUUUGCGACAUAGGUUUUGUAAUCUAAGGGUUUCGUGUUGCAGGGGUGGUGUGUUUUUCUCAGGAGCAUGCCGAAUUUUACUCUCAAAUGAUUAUCCGUGGGGGUCUACGGUCGUCUAUUGAACCAGACUCAAAUACUGUUUGAACUAAACUGGGAGUAAUGCAACAUUUAUGUAGUGGCUUUUUUCCGAGUUGUGAUGAACUUGUGGAACAUGGAGCUUCUGUUGGAGAAACACCUGCAGCUGUGGUCAGGAAGUGCAAGUAUACGACUGCAAUGUUGUCUGAUCCCUCAGCCGCCAUUUUGGUUGCUUUUGAUAAAGCUCGGGUCCUUGAGGAAAUCUGCAAUGGGAAAGGCUAUAUUGAUAUGUCAACUGUCGAUGCAGAUACAUCCGUAAAGAUCAGUGAGGGUCUAGAUAACUUGUGCGCCUGGAAAAUUCAAGUUGAUUAGCAGUAUGGUAGUAUCUGAUAAGAUUUUACGAGCAAGAUAGCCAAGAAAUCAAAGCAUGAUGAAAAAGAAGCAAAGAAACUGCAGGACAAUGUACACUCUUUGCAGCUAAGACUUUCUGCCAGAGAGCAUAUAUGCAGAAAUCUCCAAAAGAAGAAAAUGGCCGAAGCAAUCAUUUUGCCUACUGCAAAACUUGUUCUUGGAAAGAUUGCUUCCGGCCCAAGUGAUCUAUAUGUUACUGAAGAGAUAAAAGGUGCAAAGUCAGUUAAGAAAGACCUCAAGAUCAUAGCCGACAAGAUGGAGGCCAUUUGCGCUGUUCUGGAAGAUGAAGAGGAGGAGUUUACCAGUAAGGCUAACAAAAUUUGGCUACGAGAUCUCAAGAGUAUUGUUUAUGAUAUUGAUGAUCUCUUGGAUGAAGUUGCUUUUGAUGCUUUGGAGCGCAGAGUUAAUUAAGGCUACUUUGGCCGUCAGCUCAGGUACUAUCUUUCCUCUUCGAAUCCUCUCAUUUCAAGCUUCGAUUUGAGUCACAAAAUAAAAAGCCUUUUUAUAAAGAUAGAGAUCAUCAAUCUAUUUAUGCAUAUUUAAAGCUCAUUGGAUAGUUAUAGGUCAUAUUUAGAGCUAAAAUGACAUUUACGUCCCAACUUUGAACUUAAAAACCUAAGGACUCAUUUUAUUCUUAUUACAUGAUUAUUAUGCAUAUUUUUGACUUUUUAAAAUAUAUUUCAAUCUAUGUAUGCACAUUUAAGGCUCAUUGGGUCGUUAUAAGUCAUAUUUAGAGUUAAAAUGACAUUUACGCUCCCAAAAUUGAACUAAAUAACCUAAGGACUCAUUUUAUUUUUAUUACAUGAUUAAUAUGCAUAGUUUUAACUUUCUAAAACUCAUUCCAAUCUAUGUAUACACAUUUAAGGCUCAUUGGGUCGUUAUAGGUCAUAUUUAGAGCUAAAACAACAUUUUCGCUCCCAACUUUGAACUAAAGAUCCUAAGGAGUCAUUUUAUUCUUAUUCCAUGAUUAAUAUGCAUAGUUUUAACUUUAUAAAACUCAUUCCAAUCUAUGUAAGGACAUUUAAGGAUAAUUGGGUCGUUAUAGAUCAUAUUUAGAGCUAAAAUGACAUUUCUGAAGGAAAUAAUGCCCUUGGUCCAAGUAUGCAUUUAAUGUUAAGUCUAAUAAAUGCGGUUCAGUAUUAAUUAACAAGUUAAUAAUUCAGUGAGAUCAAGUGAGCUGAAUGCCUAACUAGAGGCCGCUUCAGUUCAAGUGGAAUUAAUGAUAUUAAUCCACAGCUUACUCUUGACUGAACCCGUAGGGUCACACAAAUAGUACGUAAACGGAUCAAGUAUUUAAUGGCAUUAAAUACUCCAUCUAUGGAUAUUCGGAAUCGACGGAUCUUGGUUUCAGUGGGAGCUGAGAUCGUCAAAGGCAAGCAAGUGAAUACUCCGGAAACGAUGAUAUUGCCGGAAACGGAAAUAUGGAUCGUAUCGGAAAUAUAAAUAUUAUCCAAGUCGUAGAUGUUGCCGGAAACGGAAACAUGGUACGUAUCGAAAAAUAUUAUUGGAAAUGGAAAUAUUGCCGGAAUCGGAAAUAUUGCCGGAAAUGGAAAUAUUGUCAGAAUCGGAAAUAUUAUCGAAAUCGGAAAAUAAUUCCGGAAACGGAAAUAAUAAAUAUUUGUUCGAAACGGAAAUUAAUUCCGGAAUCGGAAAUAUUAAAUAUUGUUCGUAUCGGAAAUGAAUUCCGGAAUCGAGAAUUUAAUCGGAAAGCGUAUCGUACGAAUUAGCAUCAGACGAGGCCUGCCAGACGAAGGCCCAGCACGAAGCCGGGCCAUCGCCCAGCAAGCCAAAGCGCAAACACACGCCAAAGCCUCGACCAGGCCCAGUGCGAAGGCCCAUGCCCAGCUAAGGACUUGGGCGCGAGCGGAUCAAAGGCAGCGGCGAGCUGGGCCUUGCGCUGUGCGUGGGCCGUAAGGCCUGCGUGCUGUGCUUGUGCGCCAAACGUAUGUGUUACUCGAAUCCUAAGGCUACCGGGAUUCUUCAUAUGAUUAAAUCUAAUCCUAAUAGAUAAAGACUAUUUAAUUAGAGUCCUAGCAGGAUUAUAAUUAAAUAAAUUUGUAUUCUAAUAGGAUUAUAAUUCCUUUCCAUAAACUCUAUAAAUAGGUGCCUAGGGUCACAUAUUUACACACACAAUUGAAGUAUUCAAAGGUAAGAUUUUGGAACAAGAUCAGCCAAACACUUGCAACCAUUUAGCCGAAAAUCCUAGGAACCUUAAGGGCGAUUCUAGUUGGUCAAGCUUAAGGCGGAUCCGGACGUGCUGUGGACUAUCUACGGAGAGACGACACUUGGAGUCCUAAAGGCUUAUUCUUGUUCGGUUCGGGCGCAGCUAGGGAGGGCACGCUACAAAGUGUAUGCAUCUGAAUUAUGCUAAAUGAUUAUGUGUAAAUAAUAUGUUUCCUGGCAUUAAGGUUUUCCGCAUGAUUUAUGUUUUGUCAUAUGUAUCAUAACCUAACAAUUUCCGCUCCCAACUUUAAACUAAAGAACCUAAGGACUCGUUUUAUUCUUAUUACAUGAUUAAUAUGCAUAGUUUUAACUUUCUAAAACUCAUUACAAUAUAUGUAUACACAUUUAAGGCUCAUUGGGUCUUUAUAGGUCAUAUUUAGAGCUAAAACGACAUUUCCGCUCCCAACUUUGAACUAAAGAACGUAGGACUAUUUGAUUCUUAUUACAUGAUUAAUAUGCAUAGUUUUAACUUUCUAAAACUCAUUCCAAUCUAUUCAUGCACAUUUAAGGCUGAUUAGAUCGUUAUAGGUCAUAUUUAGAGCUAACAUGACAUUUACGCUCCCAACUUUGAACUAAAGAACCUAAGGACUCAUUUUGUUCUUAUUACGUGAUUAAUAUGAAUAGUUUUUAACUUUAUAAAACUCAUUCACUAGUAGAAAAAACCCUUAUUGCAGCGGGCUUUUAGACCCCUGUUGCAGCGUACAUCGUAUGCUGCAACUGGGGGGCCUGUAACAAGUCUAGACUUGUUGCAGCGUACAAUGUUCGCUGAAAAGUACUUUUUCGCAGCGUACAUAUGCAUGUACGCUGCAACAAGUGUCAAAAAUUUGGCCAAAAUCUUGACUUGUUGCAGCGUACAAAUUCAUGUACGCUGUAAAAGACCCCACCUGUUGCAGGGUACAUCUAUUUGUACGCUGCAACAAGUUUGAAAUUUUGCCAAAUUUUACACCCUUGUUGCAGCGUAAACAUAUAUAUGUACGCUGCAACAAAGCACUUUUGGCGGGAAAAUUUUAGUUUUGUUUAGGGAUACCUAGAGUGCCUUGCACUAAAUAUAGAAACCUGUCACAACAAUAAUAGAAUAUCGCAACCUGUAUAACAAAUAUAAAACAAUAACUGUUGUUUUGUAUACAUCCCAAAACCAAAGUGCACGUACCACCUACAUUUAAAUAUAUGUACUUUCCAAUUUCAACAUACAGAUACAUUUUAAUAUAAAAGAUUGUUCUAUAACAUCUAAACCAACUCGAUCAAGCGCGCUUAGACAAAUAAUAAAUACUUCCUAGCUGGUAAAAAACUUAGCCCAUUGCUCACGAACACAUCAAUUUCCUCACUAGCAUAAGGCGCAUUCCUCGGAGUAUAGACCUUCACAAAAACAGAAAUUUCAAUUAAACAAAAGAUUAAAUUAAAUGCAAAUUAAACAAUGACCAAUAACGACCCAAUGAGCCUUAAAUGUGCAUAAAUAGAUUGGAAUGCGUUUUAAAAACUUAAAACUAAGCAUAUGAAUCUUGUAAUGAAUUUUAAAUGAGUUCUUAGGUUCGUUAGUUCAAAGUUGGGAGCAAGAAUAUCAUUUUAGCAUAAAUAUGACCUAUAACGGCCCAAUGAGCCUUAAAUGUGCAUAAAUAGAUUGGAAUGAGUCUUGAAAAGUUAAAACUAAGCAUAUUAAUCAUGUAAUAGGUUUAAAAUGAGUCCUUAGUUCUUUAGUUCAAAGUUGGGAGCAAAAAUGCCUCAUUUUAGCCUAAAUAUGACCUAUAACGACCAAACAAGUCUCAAAUGUACAUAAAUAGAUUUGAUUGAGUCUUGAAAACUUAAAAUUUAUCAUAUUAAUCAUGUAAUAAGUUGUAAAUGGGUCCUUAGGUUCGUUAGUUCAAAGUUGGGAGCUAAAAUGUCAUUUUAGCCUAAAUAUGACCUAUAACAACCCAAUGAGCCUUAAAUGUGCGUAAAUAGAUUGGAAUGAGUCUUGGAAACUUAAAACUAAGCAUAUUAAUCAUGUAAAUGGUUUAAAAUGAGUCCUUAGGUUCUUUAGUUCAAAGUUGGGAGCGAAAAUGCCUCAUUUUAGCCUAAAUAUGACCUAUAACGGACAAACAAGUCUCAAAUGUGUUGGAAAGUUAAAACUAAUCAUAUGAAUCAUGUAGUCAGUUUGAAAUGAGUUCUUAGGGAAGAAAUUUUGGCUAAAAGGAACUUGAUUCAGCCAAUUCUAUGUCAAUUUUUUAAGUCAAAAUAAAGAAUAAAGCUGACUAGAUAGAAGCAUACAAGCAAAUCAACCCAACAAGCAUCUACAGGGUGGAUGGAAUACCAUUUAAAUUUGCUGUCAAUUUGCGGCCGUCCAGAUUUAAAUGAUAAAACAGGUUCACCAAUUGUAGAAGCCUUCUCAAAUCUCCGGUAGCACAUUUCUAUAAGAUGCAUUGGAGCAUCAGAAACCGAUUACAAAGUACACCUUCUGCAACUAAAAGAUUUGAAGUACAAAAUGACACAUAGCCCAUACAACAAUACAGAUAAUAGAUAAGCAAUUAAGCAUGCACAAAACCACAAACUGCACCAUCACCAACAGGUAAUAAUUUAAUCUGACAUAUAUUCUAUCUGAUAAAUUGAUGGUAACCUCAUCCAAUGAUCCUAACUGCUAAUUUGGAAACCAUAAUAUGUGGAUGUAACAGUGACGAGCUUAUACUGAAGUUUUCAAGGAAAGUCUGAUGCCAAUGUCCACAUUAAUGUUUGUUCACCUGUAAGUCUGACCUUCUUUCUAAAUUUUCAUUACCAUUCAAUAACACCUCUAAAGUGGUAUGGAUGGUAAUACAAAUAUUACCGCCUACUAAUUAAUUGGGCCAUUGAUGUUAUGAAAAAAACCAAAGAAGGGUACUAACCAACCUUCAGUUUGUAUGUGAGAAUGAAGUCCAGUUCCUUGUUCAAACGGACAGCAGGAGGCUGCUUACUCAGAUCAAGUCCAGGCCUAUCUGGGCGCGUAACUCCUGCAGAGCUCACAUGGACGAAUCUACACAUAAUGCAAAAAAGAAAAUUAAAGAUUUGAAAGAAAACAGGCUUAUUAGAUAUAAGCUAUAAAAAUCAAAAGUUUAAAGUUAUAGACCUUGGUGUAAUUGGUUCCUGCAUGUAUGCCCGUACAGCUGACAGAGGAAGCUGGAAAGGGCCCUCCACUAGUAGAAAAAUAUUGAUUUGAGGCGUCACUUUUAUAUUGAUUUGCGGCGUUUUAGGCGUAGCAGCAAAUAGAGUGGCAGCAAAUGAAUGGUAUUGAUUUGCGGCGUUUUUUAACGCCUCAAAUCAAUCAUUCAUUUGCGGCGCUAUUAAAAAAAAACGCCUCAAAUUAUAUGAAUUCUAUAGCGGCGUUUCUACCUGAACGCCUCAAACUUUGGUAAAAUUGCGGGAGUUUAUACGCCGCAAAUAAUUUGUAAUUUUUUUUUAAUAAAUAAUAUAUUUUUUGUGAACUAAACAAUCCCAAAAAUAUAAAACCUGUACUCACGCCACAUUUAUACAACGUUCAAAAGUGUCAUCAACUAUCAAUAACUUCCAAGAAACUUUGAUUUUUACAUAUAAGUUAACCAUCAUAUGUUUACAAAAUAAACCACCUAAAUAGUUUCAAGUCUAUAAUAAAUAUAUCUUUUACACUUCACACGUUACAAAAUUGCACCAAAAAUAUAAUAAGGCAAUUAUAUAUGAUUUUAAUAGCAUGAAACAUCCACAAAAAGAGAUCGAUGAAGCGUUAAUUACACACAAUGUUCGGUGAAGUAUGAUGCCCAUUUGUCUCGUAUUUCAUCAAUUUGCUCAUCGGUGAAAGGAUCUCCACUCAUUGAUGUGCAAACCUAACAAAAUAAUAUAUACAUCAUAAAAUUAGUUAUCUUCGGUUAGAUUCAAUACUGAUGCCCAUGUCAAGUUGUCAACUUAUCCAGUGUCUCUAGUAACGGGAUAAAGCAGAAUGUGCGACGAUGUUAUGCUGAAAAGCUCUAGUUUCAUGCAAGAAUGAAAUGCUUGACAUAUGAUUUUACCAUUUGUCAGAGGAUUUAGCAAAGAUUCAUAUUUGCUGUUAUAGUUUCUGUAGUUUUCCAGCCUGUUUAUAGUUAGGUGUUCUGUGUGCCUUACGGUUAUAAACCCUUUAAAUGUUUAAUAUACUUAGUAUUAGGUUACUUAGACUCAUUCCCAUCUACUUUGGUCAAGUUAUGCACGUUUAAGGCUUUAAUGAUCAUUAUAGGUCAUAUUUUGACCGUUAUAGUCGUUUUUGCUCCCAACUCUAACCCGUGAACUUAGAUUGGUAUUCU
This is a long non-coding RNA of Spinacia oleracea (spinach), 7203 nucleotides long. RefSeq lists it as uncharacterized. The transcript is spliced from 6 exons. The record is from RefSeq and is a predicted model, not a curated record. NCBI's taxonomy places the organism in Eukaryota, Viridiplantae, Streptophyta, Magnoliopsida, Caryophyllales, Amaranthaceae.